GGAGUUGUAGCUCAGUGGUAGAACACUUGCCUCGCAAGUAUGAAGCACUGGGUUCAAUCCUAGCACCACUA
Molecule: transfer RNA, 71 nt
Filed under: Urocitellus parryii (Arctic ground squirrel)
Lineage: Eukaryota; Metazoa; Chordata; Mammalia; Rodentia; Sciuridae
Also listed under: 1 other name
Description: Spermophilus parryii (Arctic ground squirrel) tRNA
Rfam family: tRNA
About the family: Transfer RNA (tRNA) molecules are approximately 80 nucleotides in length.
Source: Rfam by way of RNAcentral